AUUUUUCGGUGCGGAACUGGUAGUUGGGGAAGUCAUAGAAGUAGUAGUGUGGUAGGUGGUAGUGUGGUAGGUGAGUAACUUAUUUUAAAGAUUUUAUUAUAAUAUCUUUUUGCUAAGUGUCUUAAUCUUGAUAUCUCUUUAAUAUUAUUUUUUGGUAGUGUUAAAUUCAUGGUAAUAUGUAGCAAUAUUUAUUGUAAUAUUCUUCCGAUAGUUGUUUUAAUCUGAAUAUUUCUU
This 234-nucleotide long non-coding RNA is filed under the name Solanum tuberosum (potato). Its description in RNAcentral is "long non-coding RNA (STUB_LNC008194)". Lineage: Eukaryota; Viridiplantae; Streptophyta; Magnoliopsida; Solanales; Solanaceae. The record is from RNAcentral.